GCGAAAUAGUUAGCAUGGGAUAAAAAACCAAGAGGGUGGUGAAUAAUUGGUUUUUAAUAAUAAAGUGUGUCUUUUAAAAUUUCUUUUCAAUUUACUUACUAAGCAGAUAAUAAAGAUAAAUAAUAAGAGCAAGAUUGAGAGAAAUAUGCACAGAUGAUUUUAUCUUGGUUCAGAUCUUACCAAUCCUCUGUCCAGUCGCUUAUCUCAAAACAAGAUAAACAAUUCAUUACUCAUAAAACAAUUACAAAUUACAAUUAUAAAGAAACAAUUUGUAAAAGUUUAGAAAACACCUCUCUUGAUACC
Molecule: long non-coding RNA, 303 nt
Filed under: Vigna radiata
Lineage: Eukaryota; Viridiplantae; Streptophyta; Magnoliopsida; Fabales; Fabaceae
Description: long non-coding RNA (VRAD_LNC005900)
Source: RNAcentral